Molecule: ribosomal RNA, 553 nt
Filed under: uncultured bacterium
Lineage: Bacteria
Description: partial 16S ribosomal RNA
Rfam family: Bacterial small subunit ribosomal RNA
Source: RNAcentral
UAGGGAAUCUUCCACAAUGGACGCAAGUCUGAUGGAGCAACGCCGCGUGAGUGAAGAAGGUUUUCGGACCGUAAAGCUCUGUUGUUGGUGAAGAAGGAUAGAGGUAGUAACUGGCCUUUAUUUGACGGUAAUCAACCAGAAAGUCACGGCUAACUGCGUGCCAGCAGCCGCGGUAAUACGUAGGUGGCAAGCGUUGUCCGGAUUUAUUGGGCGUAAAGCGAGCGCAGGCGGAAGAAUAAGUCUGAUGUGAAAGCCCUCGGCUUAACCGAGGAAUUGCAUCGGAAACUGUUUUCUUGAGUGCAGAAGAGGAGAGUAGAACUCCAUGUGUAGCGGUGGAAUGCGUAGAUAUAUGGAAGAAUACCGGUGGCGAAGGCGGCUCUCUGGUCUGCAACUGACGCUGAGGCUCGAAAGCAUGGGUAGCGAACAGGAUUAGAUACCCUGGUAGUCCAUGCCGUAAACGAUGAGUGCUAAGUGUUGGGAGGCUUCCGCCUCUCAGUGCUGCAGCUAACGCAUUAAGCACUCCGCCUGGGGAGUACGACCGCAAGGUUGAAAC